CCUACGGGCGGCAGCAGUGAGGAAUAUUGGUCAAUGGGCGGGAGCCUGAACCAGCCAAGUCGCGUGAGGGAAGACGGUCCUAUGGAUUGUAAACCUCUUUAGGCGGGGAGCAAUGCCGGGCACGCGUGCCCGGAGGGAGAGUACCCGCAGAAUAAGCAUCGGCUAACUCCGUGCCAGCAGCCGCGGUAAUACGGAGGAUGCGAGCGGUAUCCGGAUUUAGUGGGUUUAAAGGGUGCGUAGGCGGAUUUUUAAGUCAGCGGUAAAAUGUCCGGGCUCAACCCGGGCCGGCCGUUGAAACUGGGGAUCUUGAGUGGGCGAGAAGUAUGCGGAAUGCGUGGUGUAGCGGUGAAAUGCAUAGAUAUCACGCAGAACUCCGAUUGCGAAGGCAGCAUACCGGCGCCCGACUGACGCUGAGGCACGAAAGCGUGGGGAUCGAACAGGAUUAGAUACCCCUGUAGUC
RNAcentral lists this ribosomal RNA (460 nucleotides) under uncultured bacterium. Its description in RNAcentral is "partial 16S ribosomal RNA". It matches the Rfam family "Bacterial small subunit ribosomal RNA", at positions 338 to 795 of the family's 1533-position model. The record is from RNAcentral.